AAAGUAAUGAGCUAGUAAAGUUUAUAAAGUUAAUUUAGAUACUAUGAAAAAAUUGAUAAAGCCCCGACUAACUUCGUGCCAGCAGUCGCGGUAAUACGGAGGGGGCAAGUGUUACUCAUCAUGACUAGGCGUAAAGGGUGUUAAGAUAGCUACUGUUUGUUCUGAUCAAAAAAUCAACUGAAUUGUUGAAAAGUAUUAAAUAAACAACUUAGCUUGAGUAGUUUGGAGAUAGAGUUACUAGUUUUCAAGGGGUAGAAUCCAACGAGAUGAUUAGGAGAAACAAAGGCGAAGGCAACUAUUUAUGGACAACUGACAUUAAUACACAAAAGCGUGGGGAGCGAACAGGAUUAGAUACCCUGGUAGUCCAUGCCCUGACCUAUGAGUGUGAAAAUAUUUUUUGUUAUGGAGCCUUGCUUCAAACUACACGGCAAUUUGCUGCCAGUUGAAUAAAAAAUUUAUUUUAGCUAACGCGAAAGCAUUCCGCCUGGG
This 489-nucleotide ribosomal RNA is filed under the name uncultured bacterium. RNAcentral describes it as "partial 16S ribosomal RNA". It matches the Rfam family "Bacterial small subunit ribosomal RNA", at positions 422 to 877 of the family's 1533-position model. The record is from RNAcentral.